RNAcentral lists this ribosomal RNA (944 nucleotides) under uncultured bacterium. RNAcentral describes it as "bacterial SSU rRNA". It matches the Rfam family "Bacterial small subunit ribosomal RNA", at positions 86 to 1031 of the family's 1533-position model. The record is from RNAcentral.
UACUAGAGACCGGCGCACGGGUGCGUAACGCGUAUGUAAUCUACCUUUCACAGAGGGAUAGCCCAGAGAAAUUUGGAUUAAUACCUCAUAGUAUAUAGACCUGGCAUCAGGAUUAUAUUAAAGUCACAACGGUGAAAGAUGAGCAUGCGUCCCAUUAGCUAGUUGGUAUGGUAACGGCAUACCAAGGCGACGAUGGGUAGGGGUCCUGAGAGGGAGAUCCCCCACACUGGUACUGAGACACGGACCAGACUCCUACGGGAGGCAGCAGUGAGGAAUAUUGGACAAUGGGCGCAAGCCUGAUCCAGCCAUGCCGCGUACAGGAUGACGGUCCUAUGGAUUGUAAACUGCUUUUGCACAGGAAGAAACAACGCUACGUGUAGCGUCUUGACGGUACUGUGAGAAUAAGGAUCGGCUAACUCCGUGCCAGCAGCCGCGGUAAUACGGAGGAUCCAAGCGUUAUCCGGAAUCAUUGGGUUUAAAGGGUCCGUAGGCGGUCUUAUAAGUCAGUGGUGAAAUCUCCCCACUCAACGGGGAAACGGCCAUUGAUACUGUAAGACUUGAAUUAUUAGGAAGUAACUAGAAUAUGUAGUGUAGCGGUGAAAUGCUUAGAGAUUACAUGGAAUACCAAUUGCGAAGGCAGGUUACUACUAAUGGAUUGACGCUGAUGGACGAAAGCGUGGGUAGCGAACAGGAUUAGAUACCCUGGUAGUCCACGCCGUAAACGAUGGAUACUAGCUGUUGGGUGCAAACUCAGUGGCUAAGCGAAAGUGAUAAGUAUCCCACCUGGGGAGUACGUUCGCAAGAAUGAAACUCAAAGGAAUUGACGGGGGCCCGCACAAGCGGUGGAGCAUGUGGUUUAAUUCGAUGAUACGCGAGGAACCUUACCAAGGCUUAAACGCAGAUUGACCGGUUUGGAAAAGACUUUCGCAGACAUUUACAGUGCU